UUGAUUAAUUUGAUUAAUUACGCAUCGCAUGUCAGGCUAAAACCACAAAGAAGAUCGUGCUGAAACUGCAGUGCCAGAGCUGCAAGCAUUUUUCUCAGCACGCGAUCAAGAGAUGCAAGCAUUUUGAGAUUGGCGGAGACAAGAAGGGCAAGGGGACCUCUCUGUUCUGAGUUUUUUUUUUGGCUUUUGUCACCAUGGGGCCUCAUCUUCUUCAGUUUAGUCUCUUUUUAGGCUCUUAAGUUACUCUUUGGUCUUUUGCUAAAAUUUGUCUUUGUUUUGUUUGGAUGUUAUUGAGAUUUCGUGGAAACAAUUUGCUAAGACGUGUCAUUUCGUACAAUGCUAUUGUCCUGACUUUGUUUCUUUUAUGAGUUUCCAUGUUAUUGUU
Long non-coding RNA from Asparagus officinalis (garden asparagus), 385 nucleotides. RefSeq lists it as uncharacterized. The transcript is spliced from 2 exons. NCBI's taxonomy places the organism in Eukaryota, Viridiplantae, Streptophyta, Magnoliopsida, Asparagales, Asparagaceae. The record is from RefSeq and is a predicted model, not a curated record.